CCCUUAGAUGUUCUGGGCCGCACGCGCGCUACACUGACUGCCCCAACAAGUUACCUGGGCUGACAAGCAUCCGGGAAAUCUUGCAAAGGCAGUCGUGAUGGGGAUAGAUUCUUGUAAUUUUUGAUCUUCAACGAGGAAUUCCUAGUAAACGCAAGUCAUCAGCUUGCAUUGAUUACGUCCCUGCCCUUUGUACACACCGCCCGUCGCAUCUACCGAUUGAAUGGAGAGGCAAAAUCUUCGGACCGUGACGCUUGGGAGUCAAAUCUCGGGCUGUCGUGGGAAGUGGAUUAAACCUUUCUAUUUAGAGGAAGGUAAAGUCGUAACA
This 325-nucleotide ribosomal RNA is filed under the name uncultured eukaryote. RNAcentral describes it as "partial 18S ribosomal RNA". It matches the Rfam family "Eukaryotic small subunit ribosomal RNA", at positions 1470 to 1796 of the family's 1831-position model. The record is from RNAcentral.